GCCCUGGUGGCUCAAUGGUUAAGCACUCAGCUGCUAACUGAAAGGUUGGCAGUUUGAACCCACCCAGAGGCU
RNAcentral lists this transfer RNA (72 nucleotides) under Loxodonta africana (African savanna elephant). It matches the Rfam family "tRNA". From Rfam's summary of the family: Transfer RNA (tRNA) molecules are approximately 80 nucleotides in length. Lineage: Eukaryota; Metazoa; Chordata; Mammalia; Proboscidea; Elephantidae. The record is from Rfam by way of RNAcentral.